GCAUGAUUUGAUGCAUGAUCUUGCAACUUUGGUUGCUGGGAAAGAGAUUAGCAUAAUGAAUUCUAAAGAAAAAAGUGUUGAUGAAAGAGUGCGUCAUGUGAAAUUGGACUUUCGUUUAGAUUCAUCAGACAUAAUCCCUGUUGUUUUAAGUAUUCCGAAAAAAUUGAGAAGUUUUAUUUUGCCACAUCAAGAAUUCUAUGAUCAUGAUGCAAUUCGUAUUUUUUCAAACUUUAAGCAGUUGCGCGUCUGUGGUAUGCAAGAUUGUAGAAUGACAGAAGUGUCUAGUUCCAUAGAAAGUCUAAAACAUUUGAGAUAUCUUGAUGUUUCA
This 328-nucleotide unclassified non-coding RNA is filed under the name Hevea brasiliensis (rubber tree). The record is from RNAcentral. Lineage: Eukaryota; Viridiplantae; Streptophyta; Magnoliopsida; Malpighiales; Euphorbiaceae.